UUUCAUUUUCUUUUCCUUCAUUUCUUUUCAUUUCCUUUCUUUUCUUACUUCUUCCUUUUCCUACCCUAUUGUGCACCAAACCCACAGUUUCUAACUCCAUUUUUUAGCACAACCAAACCCUAGGAGAGAGAAAGAAAAAUCUCUCCUUUUUCCUUUCAUUUUCUACUUCUACUCCAUCUUCAUCAACACUUGAAUUUUUAGCUUCAGAUCUUGAUUUUUAAAGCCAAAAGGUUUUAAUGUUACUUCAAGACUUAACUUGGAGUAAAGCCUUAUUGGUGCUAAUUUUGUAAGGUGGCAUUACCAAGUUUUCAGGUUUGAAGGUAGUUGAAUCCUAGGUAGAGGUGCUUCCUCCUGUUCAUCGUACGGUAGGUUUACCAAGACACUCUAUGAUAGUACCCACUGCAGAGUCACUCCACUGAUAGUCAUGGUCUUUUGUAUGUGUGUAAGGUUAUUUAAAUGUAAUUCAUGAGAUUUG
Molecule: non-coding RNA, 475 nt
Organism: Theobroma cacao (cacao)
Lineage: Eukaryota; Viridiplantae; Streptophyta; Magnoliopsida; Malvales; Malvaceae
Source: RefSeq, a predicted model, not a curated record